This 620-nucleotide ribosomal RNA is filed under the name Bacillus sp. (in: firmicutes). RNAcentral describes it as "bacterial SSU rRNA". It matches the Rfam family "Bacterial small subunit ribosomal RNA", at positions 133 to 739 of the family's 1533-position model. Lineage: Bacteria; Bacillati; Bacillota; Bacilli; Caryophanales; Bacillaceae. The record is from RNAcentral.
UAAGACUGGGAUAACUCCGGGAAACCGGAGCUAAUACCGGAUAGUUCCUUGAACCGCAUGGUUCAAGGAUGAAAGACGGUUUCGGCUGUCACUUACAGAUGGACCCGCGGCGCAUUAGCUAGUUGGUGAGGUAACGGCUCACCAAGGCGACGAUGCGUAGCCGACCUGAGAGGGUGAUCGGCCACACUGGGACUGAGACACGGCCCAGACUCCUACGGGAGGCAGCAGUAGGGAAUCUUCCGCAAUGGACGAAAGUCUGACGGAGCAACGCCGCGUGAGUGAUGAAGGUUUUCGGAUCGUAAAGCUCUGUUGUUAGGGAAGAACAAGUGCAAGAGUAACUGCUUGCACCUUGACGGUACCUAACCAGAAAGCCACGGCUAACUACGUGCCAGCAGCCGCGGUAAUACGUAGGUGGCAAGCGUUGUCCGGAAUUAUUGGGCGUAAAGGGCUCGCAGGCGGUUUCUUAAGUCUGAUGUGAAAGCCCCCGGCUCAACCGGGGAGGGUCAUUGGAAACUGGGAAACUUGAGUGCAGAAGAGGAGAGUGGAAUUCCACGUGUAGCGGUGAAAUGCGUAGAGAUGUGGAGGAACACCAGUGGCGAAGGCGACUCUCUGGUCUGUAA